Long non-coding RNA from Leguminivora glycinivorella, 475 nucleotides. RefSeq lists it as uncharacterized. The transcript is spliced from 2 exons. NCBI's taxonomy places the organism in Eukaryota, Metazoa, Arthropoda, Insecta, Lepidoptera, Tortricidae. The record is from RefSeq and is a predicted model, not a curated record.
UGCCAUUAAUGGAACCAAUAAUUAAACGAUUUCAAGUCAACACAAUUCACACUUUUGUAACAUCUUGAGCAAUCAUGUUGCUAAACGGCUGUAUAAUCUCCAUAUUCGUUUUAACAUUUAGAGAUUUAUUAUUAUGUGACGCUGAAGAAACUCAAGAAGUCUCUACUGUCUUGAGUACAACUGUAGACAAUAUCGUCACAGACACUGCCAUCACAAAUAUGAAUACAGACAAUACUGUCGCAAAAAUAACUGCAGACACUACUGUCCUAAGUAUAACUGCAGACACUACUGUCACAAGUAUAACUUCAGACACUACUGUCACAAGUAUAACUGCUGACACUGACAUCACAAGUAUACCUGCAGACACUACAAUCACAGACACUUCCGUAACGACUAUAACUCCAGCCAAUUCAAAGAAAUUUGCAUUGAAAUUGCCUUUGAAAGAUUUUCGCAAAGAAAGAAAAAAUAAAGUAAA